RNAcentral lists this ribosomal RNA (253 nucleotides) under uncultured Xenococcaceae cyanobacterium. Its description in RNAcentral is "partial 16S ribosomal RNA". It matches the Rfam family "Bacterial small subunit ribosomal RNA", at positions 524 to 776 of the family's 1533-position model. Lineage: Bacteria; Bacillati; Cyanobacteriota; Cyanophyceae; Pleurocapsales; Xenococcaceae. The record is from RNAcentral.
UACGGGGGAUGCAAGCGUUAUCCGGAAUUAUUGGGCGUAAAGAGUCCGUAGGUGGUUCAGCAAGUCUAUUGUCAAAGGUCGGAGCUUAACUCCGGAAAGGCAGUGGAAACUGUUGAACUAGAGUAUGGUAGGGGUAGAGGGAAUUCCCAGUGUAGCGGUGAAAUGCGUAGAUAUUGGGAAGAACACCGGUGGCGAAAGCGCUCUACUGGACCAUAACUGACACUGAGGGACGAAAGCCAAGGUAGCGAAAGGG